UCCUCUUUCUUUGCUUCUUUCUCCUCCUCCUCCUCCGCCUCCUCCACCUUCCAACUGCUACACCACCACCACCUUCUUCUACUUUUUAAAAUCAUAUAUGUAAUUCUUCAGCAGAAAUUGAACCAUUAGUACCAUUCUCAGUAGAACCAUCAGUAGGAUCCAAAUGAUGAAAUAGAUCGGAGAUGUGGGUGAUUAUUUUUUAGAAAUUUGUGGUGAAAGUUGUUCUUUAUCUAUUGGUAUUGAAUCCAAAUUGUUUGUAUCCAGAUAUGGAUUAAAGUUUGAUUUUAAAUUUAAAGAGGUUAUAGCUGAUAGAGGAAUUCAGUAACAUUCUACAACUUUUAGUUUCAAUGUUCUUUUACGAGAUGGGAUUGUACAUGAGGGGCCAUUGGACUCACAAGCUUGAGCAGUUAAAAACAUCAUCAUCUCUUGAACGGCAAGCGUAACACAGCUGAAAUUGAGAAAGUAACAAAGGCAGCAACACAAAGGCUCUCAAAUCAAUCUAAUGGCAAGCAUAACACAGUUUAAAUUGAGAAAGUAGUAAGGGAAGCAACACAAAGGCUCUCAAAUCAAUCUGUGAGAUCAAAGGCUUAUUUUUUUCCUUCUCUUUUUACAUAUUUUUAAUUAUCUUUGAUAUCAAGUUCCUUCACAGUGAUAGAGGAGGCUUGUAUGUUAGAAGUUAGGACAGCUGACAUAGCCAAAAUGGGGCGCAAUGAACUUCAAAUUGUACCAUCUCUAGCUUACUGAGAGCAAAGGAAUUGAAAAUUUUCUCGAAAGUCAAAUUAAAGAGGCAGGUUGUGAGCAGAAAUUAGGUUUCUAUAGAUAUAUUAGUUACUUACACUAGUAAUUUUCCAAAUAGAUAAUCAAAAAAGAAGACAAACCUAAAACAUUAAGAAAAAAUCAUAAAAAAAGUGUCUGGUUUCCUACAAUGUAUUCUUUAGGUCUUUAAAUUGUGAUUCUUAAUUAUUAGAAAUUUAAAAAUGAAGAAAAAUAAUGUUAAACUAGCAGUUUAAAAAGAAUUUAAAAUGCAUCAUUAUUGUUUUUCCUUUUGUAGGUAGUGUCUUUCAAGGAUUGAUAAUGUCUCUUCCAUUGCACUGCAGUGUUUAGUAACUAAUACCCAAACAGCAUAUAGUGCGUCACUGCAUCUCCACAUAGAUGAUGAGCAUAGUGUUAGAAAACAAUACAUAUGUAUAUAUUCAAAACCUCUUGUUGAACCGUGGUUUUAAACUACAUAAAAACCGUCCCACUCCCAUAGAGUGGGACCCGUCCCUUUUGGGUUUAACAGGGGAUCUUAUUUGUGGGUGCGUCUUCACCGAGUAGUGCUACAAUGGCCGUGGGAAAAACCGGGAGAAAUCCCGUGGCACUAAUAGGGGACCCGUGGGACAAUGGCUGUGUUUUUAAUCACUUAUACUAUAAGUGAUCUAACUAAAUCAAUUUAGUGUUUUUUCUUAUGGAACCAUUAUUUAUUGUGUAUAAGAAUCUGAAGUAGAAAUGAAUAUGAUUCAAUUUUUUGUUUGAGGUUCCUAAUUUUUUACAUUAUCUUUUCACUUGUAAGAUAAAGGAAAAAAGAUAAAAACCUGGUUCCAAGGGUAAAAUAAAUCCAGGUAAAAUUAACAUGCCACCUACUUGAAAAACUUUUUAAUCACAAAGGGUAAAAUAGAAAGUAACAUUUUUUUAGAAAUAAUAAAAUUUGUUUUCCGAAUAUUUUUAAUUAUCAAAGAGAAUUGUCAAGACCAAUGCAACGAAAGAAUAUUCUAAUCUUCCUUAACCUGUAUACUGGGAUACACGUUAAGAAGACCCAAAAUUAUUCAAGAAAAUAAUGAGUUUAAAACCGGGGUCUUAUUAAUGUGUAUCCCAAUAUACAUGUUAAGGAUGAUUAUUAUAUUAUUUAAUUGAAUCGAGGGUUGUAAUUUUCCUUUUAUAUUCGAAAUUCUUGGAAAUACGACAGUGUUGUUUCUAGAAAUAUACAGUUCCACAUUAUUGCAGUGCUAGUACAAGCAGAAACAUAAGGGCAGUUUUUCCUACAGCGGAAGACUAUGUUAAUGAAGCUAUACAAGCAAAAACAUAAGGCAGUUUUUCCUACAACGGAAGACUAUGUUAAUGAAGCUAUACAAGCUAUCAAAGAAGGGAAAAUUAUUGCAGUGCCUACUGAUACUCUUUAUGGAUUUGCUUGUGAUGCCUGGUAUGGUUUGAAACAUGUUUCCUCUUGUUUUAAGAUUUUAAUGUCAGUAGUUUUCAAGAAAUUUCUUGAUUUAAUUUGCAUUAUGGAUGUGAUUAAUUCAGGUUAUCAUAUGAGCUUAAUCCUCCGAGCUUUAUGUGGAAAAAAUAACCUUAAAAGUUCAAUAUUUGGUGUAAUUCUCACACUGGACGUCACAGGUUAUUGUGUUUGCACAUGUACAUGUACCUCGGUCCUUUUAUUUUGUAUUUGCAUUGUGCUGUUGAAGAAUACUUAGUUUUAUACUCUUGUUUUCAUGUGAAGUUUUAUUUUGCUUUAGUUGAAGUUACUUAUGGCGUAGAUUUUAUUAUUUUGCAAUUCAGCAGAAGCAGUUCAUAGAAUUUAUGAGAUUAAAAGGCAUAAACAAACGACUCCUUUAGCUUUUUGUGCAAGGAAUCUUAAGGACAUUAAGAGGUUUGCUAAUAUAGAUCAUCUGCCUAAUAAUUUGCUUGAUAGUCUUCUCCCUGGACCUGUCACCAUUGUGCUAAUGCGAGGUCUGGUUUAGAGACAUAUAUAUUUGCUGUACACUUAUAAUGUGAUGUAUUAAUUCUGGAGGUGCACGUAGUCUUACAGCAUGUUGGUUUGCAACAAAAUAUUUCUUUUUCUUUUUUUGGUUACUUUCAGGUGAGUAAUCCUUGAAUCCAGGAUUAGAUAGCACAGGAAUAUGUGUGCGAAAUUCGGAUUUUAGUCGCGCGAUUGCACGUGGUUCUGGAAGUGCACUAGCACUUUCUAGGGCAAACCUUAGACGGCAACCAAGCAGUGUAUGCAUCAAAGACUUUGAGAAUCUAUGGGAGCACUGUGAGUUUGUCUAUGUGGUGCUUUGCUUCCUUCAGGACAUGCCUGAUCGACCGUGGUUGACCUCACAAGGCUUGGAAAUUACAAAAUCAUAAAGACCUGGAAGUGCCAUGGAAGAGACAGUAGCAAUCCUUCAGAGACACUCCCUUCAACUUCAGGAGGGUAAAACGAUGUAAAAUCUCCACAGUGAUAGAUUGUCAAAUUUUAAAUGAUUUUUCUUCUUUUUAGACUACUGGUGCAACAUUAUUUAUUUGAGCAGGCUGAAUUUAAUUACUAGGAAUAUAAAGGGUCUUUCAGAAUCUCGGUGAGAACUUCAAUGUUGCAGUUCCUACUGACAUUCUUGAUGGGAGCACGCCUAACAUGAAAAAUACGAAGGGAAAGUGAGAUAAUGCCUUCAGGAUAUACCUUUAACAAUGUAUUGAAUUGAAACAAAUUUUUUUGAUGUGAUUCAUCCUGACUUAUGGGGGAUAUUGCAUCCGUUGGAGAUGCAUGUUCAUCACCAGCAUAUACCUCCGAUAGGCAUCAAUUUAAUUCUUGAAGAAAAACAAAGGGUUCAGUAAGUGCAAACCAUCAGCUUCUGUUUAGUGCUACAAAUAUUUUUGUAUAGAUCUUAAUUGCAUAUGCAGGACUUUGAGUUUACUGUGCCAAGGGACUAAUACUUCUUUAGUCCAUUUUCUUUGUUUUUUCUGUGGUGUGCUCCACUUGAAUGCUUCUCCUGCAACCUGGUUAUGUACUGAGUUCUGCUGUGAGGUUUUUUAAUCACAUUGGAUGCCAUGUUCUUUUAGAUGCUGCUCUAUUUAUAUAUAUUAUAUAUGGAUUUAAAAUUACAUUUUUGUUAGAUGGCAUACUGAAACAAGAUAAAUUUGUAUUACAGUAGUUGUGUUGAGGUUUUACUUACCUAUCCUAAAUGGUUUUUAUCUGUACUUUUAUUUCUUCUGGAUGUUAUGUGCUGAAGACCAUGAAGAAACUAUGUAUCUGACACUGGUCCGUUUAGUUGCUCAGCUUAUUGCUGCUGGUGGCUUCACUUGCGGCCGGUUUGAUGUGUCCCUUACUCAUCUGAGUGUCUUCCUUUAUAUGUUUGUCGAUUUCGAUUUUCAAAACUGAAAUUUCGUGUUUUCUACCAUAGUGGAUCUAAGAUUACUACACUGCGCUAAGUAUCUAUCUCUUUGAUUCUGUAUCAAAUGAAACAGUUCUUAAUAAAGUAAUAGAGGGAUGAAGGUGAUGAAUAUAGCAGGUAAUGACAUUUCAACAAACCACCUUCUGAUUUGCAUAGUGUGCCAUGUGUUUUAAGUUCUUGCAGUCCCUUUUAUGGGUAAAACAUAGUUCCAGCAGUAGUUUUCAUCUGCUGGACUUUUAGCAGUGCCCAGGCAUAUAAAGUUUACACUUAUUAUUACACAAUUCUUAGUAUCUAUCUCUUUGAUUCUGUAGUUCUUAAUAAAGUAAUAGAGAGAUGAAGGUGAUGAAUUAAGCAGGUACUUAAGACAGGUUUUCCUGUCUGGUUGUUUCUCCUGGUGCAGCUUAAAUGUAGCUGUGCCGAGCUUCUGGAUGGGUCUGUAUGACUUUUCAACAAACCGCUUUCUGAUUCUCUCUCUAUACUUGUUUAGAUUCACCACUUUCUUCUAUAUAGUUGGUGUGCCAUGUGUUUUAACUCGUGCAGUCCCUUUUAUCGGUAAAACAUAGUUCCAGCAGUAGUUUUCAUCUGCUGGACUUUUAGCACUGCCCAGGCGCAUAAAAUUUGAACGUAUAUUAAUAUUUAAUUUGUUAGUAAUGCAUUUUAAUUUCUGCCAAUGGAACUUGAUCUUUUGUUAAUUUCCAUAGUGGUUUUGUGCUUGAUAUAUCUACAUUGGAGUUAUUGCGUCAUUUGGGAAAAUGCAAACGCUUAUACAAGAAAAUUAAUUGGUGAUUGCUGCUCUCUGGGAGUCAUCUAUGCUUGUAAAUUUGCUACCAAUCUUAUAAAAGAACUUAAUGGCCUUCUUUGGUUUCUCUCUCUGAGAAGUAUUUUUCAUCUUUUAAUUAAAAGUUUUCUACAUAUCUGACCCCCUGUAUAAUUUCUUUGCAAACUGUUGUCGUGCCAUUGAUCAGGUUGUAAGUUCCGAUGGGAAGAAAGUAAAAUUUGCUCGUCCUUUGCCUGUUAUAGAUGUCAAGCAGGCACAGAAUCCAGCCAGAACCACUUCUUCUGCAAUUUGGUGGAGCAGGUCAAUAUAUCUCUGGCCAUUCUAAAAGUUUCGGCUGGCUGAGUGAAUCUAGUGUUCUCUCCUUCAGUUUGUUGUUACUCAGCACCGUUUUCAUUUAUCUUAGGCAAGCAGCCAAGCAACAUCGAUUUGGAAGAGCUACUCGAAGACAUAGAGAAGAUUACCCUUGUAAGCCAUUUGGUUUGGGGCUUAUGGGGGGAAUAUUCAGCAGGAGUCUGUCUGAUAUUUUAUUUAUUUUUUAAUAUUGGAUAACGAUUAUUACAUGAAACUAGUUGGAAGCCUACCAAGCUAAGCUCCAACGACAUACUACUA
Long non-coding RNA from Papaver somniferum (opium poppy), 5511 nucleotides. RefSeq lists it as uncharacterized. Lineage: Eukaryota; Viridiplantae; Streptophyta; Magnoliopsida; Ranunculales; Papaveraceae. The transcript is spliced from 8 exons. The record is from RefSeq and is a predicted model, not a curated record.